AGAGUUUGAUCCUGGCUCAGGAUGAAACGCUAGCGACAGGCUUAACACAUGCAAGUCGAGGGGCAGCGGGGAGGUAGCAAUACUUCCGCCGGCGACCGGCGCACGGGUGAGUAACACGUAUGCAACCUGCCCCUGUCAGGGGGACAACCCGCCGAAAGGCGGGCUAAACCCGCGUACAUGCCACCGGGGCAUCCCGGAGGCAGGAAGGGCUUCGGCCGGACAGGGAUGGGCAUGUGGCGCAUUAGGCAGUAGGCGGGGUAACGGCCCACCUAACCGACGAUGCGUAGGGGUUCUGAGAGGAAGGUCCCCCACACUGGUACUGAGACACGGACCAGACUCCUACGGGAGGCAGCAGUGAGGAAUAUUGGUCAAUGGUCGGGAGACUGAACCAGCCAAGCCGCGUGAGGGAGGAAGGUACAGAGUAUCGUAAACCUCUUUUGUCAGGGAACAAAGACUGGGACGCGUCCCCGGAUGAGUGUACCUGAAGAAAAAGCAUCGGCUAACUCCGUGCCAGCAGCCGCGGUAAUACGGAGGAUGCGAGCGUUAUCCGGAUUUAUUGGGUUUAAAGGGUGCGCAGGCGGUCUGUUAAGUCAGCGGUCAAAGCCCGGGGCUCAACCCCGGCCCGCCGUUGAAACUGGCAGUCUCGAGUUGGAGAGAAGUAUGCGGAAUGCGCGGUGUAGCGGUGAAAUGCAUAGAUAUCGCGCAGAACUCCGAUUGCGAAGGCAGCAUGCCGGCUCCACACUGACGCUGAGGCACGAAAGCGUGGGUAUCGAACAGGAUUAGAUACCCUGGUAGUCCACGCAGUAAACGAUGAAUGCUGGCUGUCCGGGGGGACUGACCCCUGGGUGGCGAAGCGAAAGCGAUAAGCAUUCCACCUGGGGAGUACGCCGGCAACGGUGAAACUCAAAGGAAUUGACGGGGGCCCGCACAAGCGGAGGAACAUGUGGUUUAAUUCGAUGAUACGCGAGGAACCUUACCCGGGCUCAAACGGGGAGUGGCGCAGGCAGAGACGCCUGUUUCCCACGGGACACUCCCCGAGGUGCUGCAUGGUUGUCGUCAGCUCGUGCCGUGAGGUGUCGGCUUAAGUGCCAUAACGAGCGCAACCCCCGCGUGCAGUUGCUAACAGUCAACGCUGAGGACUCUGCACGGACUGCCGGCGCAAGCCGCGAGGAAGGCGGGGAUGACGUCAAAUCAGCACGGCCCUUACGUCCGGGGCGACACACGUGUUACAAUGGGUGGUACAGCGGGAAGCCAGGCGGCGACGCCGAGCGGAACCCGAAAUCCACUCUCAGUUCGGAUCGGAGUCUGCAACCCGACUCCGUGAAGCUGGAUUCGCUAGUAAUCGCGCAUCAGCCAUGGCGCGGUGAAUACGUUCCCGGGCCUUGCACUCACCGCCCGUCA
RNAcentral lists this ribosomal RNA (1401 nucleotides) under uncultured bacterium. RNAcentral describes it as "16S ribosomal RNA". It matches the Rfam family "Bacterial small subunit ribosomal RNA". The record is from RNAcentral.